CGCGUAGGCGGGAUGGCAAGUCGGUCGUGAAAUCUCUCGGCUCAACCGAGAAACGUCGGCCGAUACUGCCGUUCUUGAGGGAUGCAGAGGAGACUGGAAUUCCCGGUGUAGCGGUGAAAUGUGUAGAGAUCGGGAGGAACACCGGUGGCGAAGGCGGGUCUCUGGGCAUUUCCUGACGCUGAGGCGCGAAAGCGUGGGGAGCAAACGGGAUUAGAUACCCCGGUAGUCCACGCUGUAAACGAUGACGACUAGGUGUGGGGUGGUUCAGUCCAUUCCGUGCCGCAGCUAACGCAUUAAGUCGUCCGCCUGGGGAGUACGGCCGCAAGGUUGAA
This 332-nucleotide ribosomal RNA is filed under the name uncultured bacterium. Its description in RNAcentral is "bacterial SSU rRNA". It matches the Rfam family "Bacterial small subunit ribosomal RNA", at positions 568 to 898 of the family's 1533-position model. The record is from RNAcentral.